AAAAACAUGAAGAAGUCAAAGAUGCUUUAUCAAGGCUAGCCAUUGUUGCAAAUGAGAUUAGCAAGGUCAAAGCAAAGACAAAUGAGAUGCUUAAUCAGAUACAAGAGCUGAAAGAAGAAGGCAUAGUCAGGAAAAAGAAACUAGUCAUGUGUAGAGGGUGGUUGUAUGUGUGUUUUCUGAUAAUAGGUUUUUAAGAUCAAUUAAUCGUAAAGCACUAUCAUGUCGUUGUAGUACUUUAGGUUGUCAAUCCAAAUGAGUGUGAUGCUAACAAUCAAGAUGUGAUCAGAAGUCACUAAGUCAAGCCAAGGAAUAACAGGUUUUGGUGUGUUCUAGCAGUUCUAAGUGAACGUGCAGAAAACAGAAAUUCAAGCAGAAACAAUAAAACACUCGACCAACACAGCUCUUUGCAGAGCACUGGGUGAGGUCGAGUGACAGGUCGAGUAACAGACAGAAAGUAUAACACAGAUACUCGACUGCACAGUCUCUUGCCAGAUAAUUGGGUGGUCUAGUAUGAGGACGAGUAACAAGAAAGAAUUGCAGAAAUUUAGCAACAAAUGACAAGAUGCAGUAAACAACAGUAGUGUAAACAAAUAAUUCAAUCAGAUAAAGAAUUCCCGAGGAUGGGGUAAUUGAGUAGUUUCGUUUCCUUAGUUUAUAGGUGAUUGACAUGCUCAAUAAAUUAUCCCUAGAA
Molecule: small RNA, 691 nt
Filed under: Arabidopsis thaliana (thale cress)
Lineage: Eukaryota; Viridiplantae; Streptophyta; Magnoliopsida; Brassicales; Brassicaceae
Description: ATSL161650
Source: RNAcentral